This 497-nucleotide ribosomal RNA is filed under the name uncultured bacterium. RNAcentral's name for it is "partial 16S ribosomal RNA". It matches the Rfam family "Bacterial small subunit ribosomal RNA", at positions 28 to 507 of the family's 1533-position model. The record is from RNAcentral.
GAUGAACGCUGGCGGCGUGCCUAAUACAUGCAAGUCGAGCGAACAGACGAGGAGCUUGCUCCUCUGACGUUAGCGGCGGACGGGUGAGUAACACGUGGAUAACCUACCUAUAAGACUGGGAUAACUUCGGGAAACCGGAGCUAAUACCGGAUAAUAUAUUGAACCGCAUGGUUCAAUAGUGAAAGACGGUUUUGCUGUCACUUAUAGAUGGAUCCGCGCCGCAUUAGCUAGUUGGUAAGGUAACGGCUUACCAAGGCGACGAUGCGUAGCCGACCUGAGAGGGGGAUCGGCCACACUGGAACUGAGACACGGUCCAGACUCCUACGGGAGGCAGCAGUAGGGAAUCUUCCGCAAAGGGCGAAAGCCUGACGGAGCAACGCCGCGUGAGUGAUGAAGGUCUUCGGAUCGUAAAACUCUGUUAUUAGGGAAGAACAAAUGUGUAAGUAACUAUGCACGGCUUGACGGUACCUAAUCAGAAAGCCACGGCUAACUACGUG